RNAcentral lists this ribosomal RNA (433 nucleotides) under uncultured bacterium. RNAcentral describes it as "partial 16S ribosomal RNA". It matches the Rfam family "Bacterial small subunit ribosomal RNA", at positions 29 to 507 of the family's 1533-position model. The record is from RNAcentral.
AACGAACGCUGGCGGCAUGCCUAACACAUGCAAGUCGAACGAGCCCUUCGGGUCUAGUGGCGCACGGGUGCGUAACGCGUGGGAACCUGCCCUUAGGUUCGGCAUAACUCCCCGAAAGGGGUGCUAAUACCGGAUAAUGUCUUCGGACCAAAGAUUUCUCGACUUUGGAUGGGCCAGCGUUGGAUUAGCUGGUUGGUAGGGUAAAAGCCUACCAAGGCGACGAUCCAUAGCUGGUCUGAGAGGAUGAUCAGCAACACCGGGACUGAGACACGGCCCAGACUCCUACGGGAUGCAGGAGUGGGUAAUAUUGGACAGUGGGCUAAAGCCUGAUCCAGCAAUGCCGCGUGAGUGAUGAAGGCCUUAGAGUUGUAAAGCGCUAGUACCCGUGAUGAUAAUGACAGUACCGGGAGAAUAAGCUCCGGCUAACUCCGUG